Long non-coding RNA from Oncorhynchus kisutch (coho salmon), 3499 nucleotides. RefSeq lists it as uncharacterized. The transcript has 2 exons. Lineage: Eukaryota; Metazoa; Chordata; Actinopteri; Salmoniformes; Salmonidae. The record is from RefSeq and is a predicted model, not a curated record.
AGGUGAGACAAGGCCAAAGAUGGAGGAUAAAUGAAGAUAGUUAGCGAAGCGACAGGAUUUACUCGGCCCAAAAUCUGUCAAUGAGAUAAGCCCUUUUUUGUAUGGUCUAUGAGAGAGUGAAGUUACGUGAAUCUUAUUGUUUUUUAGGCUGUACAAAUGUACGUAUAAAAGUUGAUGCACGUGGUAUUCCGGCAACUUUAAGAAAAACAACAUAUAAUGCUUUCAAGUAGGAUUUGUGGUAUUUUACCUGUUGGAAAAAUGGCAAUGUUUAUAUGACCCUACAAACGCCCAUUUUUACUACAUUAUUGCCCGCAUACACAUUUUAUGUGCAUACAUGCCGAGGAAAAGUGUUGGUUGUGGUGUGCAGAUGUGGGCGGGCAUCUAUUUUAAUCAAUCAAUUGAGAAUAUACCCCAUCAAUAAGUAAUCCAUUAUUAAUUUAUUGAGGCAGGUAAUACAAUUGUCCAAAAUAAUAGAUUUUUUAUUUUACCUUUAUUUAACUAGGCAAGUCAGUUAAGAACAAAUUCUUAUUUUCAAUGACGGCCUAGGAACAGUGGGUUAACUGCCUGUUCAGGGGCAGAACGACAGAUUUGUACCUUGUCAGCUCAGAAUAGCAUACUUUUGAUUGAAUUAGGCAUAUGUUAUGGGCUGUGCAGCCAUGACUGCACCAUCCAAAUUAAAUCAAUAGUUUGUUAUUUUGUUCAUUAACAAGACACAUCUACCCAAUCACAGUCAAAACACGUAUUUUAUAUAUUUUUUUAAAGUUAUAUUUUGAAACAGAGCCCAAUCUCAUGCUUUUCUUUAUGCAGGUUUCAUCUCUUUUGUACCUCAAUCCACUUUGUUAGGGAGCAUGAAUAGGGUCUUAUCAUGACCUUGUGUAAUCAGUAUCAGUCUGGGUAUCUCUGACGAAGGAAGGUGGUUUUGGUAUGGCAUGGACCCUACUAAAUUAUUUCAACCUGUUCAGACUGGGACAAUGACAACAUCCUGACUAACAGCUAAAACCUAACCAGAUCUCUAGAAGCAAAUGUAUUUAGUGUGGAGGUCCCUCCCGGGGCCCCACAGUGUCUCAGAUGAUGGAGAGAGCUGGAAUGCAGGAAUGUGGAGAGAUAAUCCUGCAACCUCAGUGGAUAGUGCUCAACGCCUGCCAGUGCUUUGAUCUUCACACCGCUGCCAAGGGGGACAAGCAAUUUCCUGAGCUCUUCUCAGAGGAAGGUUCCUGUAAAUGUAUGUUCCAUGUCAGCACGCAGGUAUCCAAGGAGCCUACCCACAUGAACACAAAUCUAUUUAAUUUGGUUAAUGCUGCUGAUAAACAGAUUCUGCUCAUAAAACUCCUCCAUCACCCGGGAAGAAAGGGUGCAUGUCAAAGAAACCCUAUACGUUUGCAGUUUCACCUCUAGCCACACCCUUGAGUCACAGGACAACUUCCAUCAGAAUUUCCACUAGUUGUUGCCUAAGAAUGUAAGCUACUGUAUGUGAGUCAGCCACGUCAGGUUUCUGAGCAGUAAUGUUGAUAAGAUAUAUAAUGCUCCCACCCCUGACUCCCUGUCCUUCUGGCGACUGCCCUGGAAAAACAUUCUCAUCUAUCAGGAAUGUAAUUCACUCUAUAGUGACGGAAAAUACUACUAAGAACAGGUUUUCUCUGUGAAAUAUUAAAUUAACUGGUAUCCUGAAAUGCAAUAUUCUUCUAAAACAAAGUGAUGUAUUUGUCUGACGUCUCUAAUUUGGGGAAACUACAGUAAACUACUGGGCAAAUGUUAGAGUUUCGAUUAGCAUAUGUCUAUCAGAAGCACAAGCACGGAAAUCUAAAGCCCUGUGAUAGCUGAUAGAUAGAGGGGUGGGGGGGACAGGUACAGGUGACGACGCUCAAGUGAUGUUUCCUCUUUGAGAUGCCUCUAUUCAUAUCCUGCUACCAAAUAGACAAUGGGGGGUGGUUUUCAGUCUCAUGUUUGUUAUUCCUGUUGCAAUAUUCAAUAGCUGCCACAGUCCCCCUGUUGUGGUACUUACUACCUUUCCACGGCCACCUCUCUGGUUAUGCACCUUUUCACAUCUUCUUCGAAGAUAACAUUUAUAAAUUAGAUUAAUCUACUUAAUUGCCAACCGUUGUCUCCUCCACACCUUUUCUCUGAUAAGAUUUUAUAUGGACAAAAAUAUGCUGUACCUUUACUGUAACUUAUCUGAGCAAUAAUACAUAUUCAAACUUGUACCAAUAGUACUGAAGACUUGCCUGGGUUAAAGAAUUUAAGAGAGACACCAAAUGAUAGUGCAACAGAGCAAGCAGCAGAUGUUUAAAUGAUUCAUGAGAUAGAACUGGCGGCCUUUUUUUCAUUGAAUGAAAGGGUCUAUUAGUACUGUAAAUAUACAUAGGCAAGCCAUCCCCCAGUAAACACAACACAGUGUACCCAAGGUGGAUGAUGCAGGUGGAACCUGUGCAGUGUUCUAAAUUCUGAAGAAAGUCGUGUGGAAUGCUGUAGAAGAUUCCUGGGGCGGUUGAGUAAUGUUGUCAGACCAGCCUGUCUGCUCUGGGCCAUGCAUACCCUCAGUUCUAUGACUCCCACACCUCAGCAGGUUACCAGGCCCGAUCCACUGGCUCAGAGCAGCCUGGCUACCUACCCAGCAUUCCUCUGGCUUUAGUCAAAGGAUUCCGGCAUGGUGCAGGGAAAGUUGCUGUAGAGGUCCCACACGUCUUACUGGAGGAUUCAAACAUUUCUGAGUCAAGCAUCAAAACAAAAAGAGACUUAACUCUGAGGAAUGUUUCACGGUGAUGGGGGACUCUAAUAUACUUUGAAGGAGACACUAGUGCAGAGACAGUCGUGAGAGAGAAACACUCAAUGUUGGCCUACAAUCAGCCAUGUGCAUUCAUAGCCCUAAGGAGAAAUACAAGCUUGUGCACAUUCUUUCUUGAAAUGUGUUUUUGUCUGGUUGAAAUGCCAAGCAUGACGCAUCAUAUAUAAGCAUGUUUAGCUGUUUGUGUCCCUUGAAGAUAAAAAGUACUUAGCUUAUUUGAAUGCUUGUUUUAUCUAUUUACUCAUCCAUAAAUCCAUAACAUUUCAGUGUGAUUAAUCAUGACUGUGUGAGGAUUUAAGAUUGACAUAACUUAAAUAAAUUAGACUGGUGAAAAAAAGUAUUAUUCUUGAGAUUUGAGUACUGUAACUGGAAUGUGAAAGGUCACCAUGAUCACCUGACUGAAACGCAUGCUCUUUAUUCUCCAGUUGAGAGGAGAUACUGUCUGUGUGUGUUCGCGCACGCAUAGUGUAUUAGUUUUUACAAUGGCCUCGUGUUUCAAUGAAGUCAUGAAAGUUCCUUAUCUGAUAUCAGCACAUAACAUACCUUUCUGAGACGGCGAGAUUGUGAAAGGAAAAAGCAUCCAUUUAUGUCUUGUAGAUAUCAUUGGUCUGUCUUCUCACCAAUUCUAUUCAUCAGUUGUCAUGCUUCCCAUAGUUCUGCUAUUUGUAAUGUCCCAAAGCCAUUUGUCAAAAUAAAUGCCAAUUCCAGAUCCAUUUA